UACGUAGGGGGCAAGCGUUGUCCGGAUUUAUUGGGCGUAAAGCGCGUGUAGGCGGCCACACAGGUCCGCUGUGAAAACUGGAGGCUCAACCUUCAGAGGUCGGUGGAAACCGUGUGGCUAGAGUCCGGAAGAGGAGACUGGAAUUCCCGGUGUAGCGGUGAAAUGCGCAGAUAUCGGGAAGAACACCCGUGGCGAAGGCGGGUCUCUGGGACGGUACUGACGCUGAGACGCGAAAGCGUGGGGAGCGAACAGG
RNAcentral lists this ribosomal RNA (253 nucleotides) under uncultured bacterium. RNAcentral describes it as "partial 16S ribosomal RNA". It matches the Rfam family "Bacterial small subunit ribosomal RNA", at positions 524 to 776 of the family's 1533-position model. The record is from RNAcentral.